RNAcentral lists this unclassified non-coding RNA (184 nucleotides) under Lactococcus garvieae. Its description in RNAcentral is "T-box". Lineage: Bacteria; Bacillati; Bacillota; Bacilli; Lactobacillales; Streptococcaceae. The record is from RNAcentral.
AAAACAUUUUAACCCAGUAGGAAAUAGUUUUCUUGUUCAGAAAGUCGGUGGUUGCUGCGAACCGAUCAGGACUAUUUGUUGAAUUACACUAAAAUGAGCGGAUAAAAAUAAUAAAUGAAAUGAUAAAGAAAAACACUCGCUGUUUUAAAAAUAAGGUGGUACCGUGGAGAAAUUCGCCCUUAGC